Molecule: ribosomal RNA, 1112 nt
Filed under: uncultured fungus
Lineage: Eukaryota; Fungi
Description: eukaryotic LSU rRNA
Rfam family: Eukaryotic large subunit ribosomal RNA (bases 533-1112)
Source: RNAcentral
GAUCAUUACCGAGUUAGGGUCGCCCCGCGCGCCCGACCUCCAACCCUUUGUCUACCCGACCUUAUUGUUGCUUCGGCAGGCCCGCCGCCCCUCGUGGGUGGCCGCCGGGGGCUUAACAGCCCCGGGCCCGCGCCUGUCGACGGCCCCAACCACAAACUCUUGUACUUAAACGUGUCGUCUGAGUUAACAAACAAAAUAAAUUAAAACUUUCAACAACGGAUCUCUUGGUUCUGGCAUCGAUGAAGAACGCAGCGAAAUGCGAUAAGUAAUGCGAAUUGCAGAAUCCGUGAGUCAUCGAAUCUUUGAACGCACAUUGCGCCCUCUGGUAUUCCGGAGGGCAUGCCUGUUCGAGCGUCAUUAUCACCCCUCAAGCCCGGCUUGUUGUUGGACGCGGCGGCGCCUUUGCGCCCCGCCCGUCUCAAAGAUAAUGACGGCGUCUGCGAGGACCCCUGUACACUGAGCUUUCGGGCACGUACUAGGUGUGGAAUCCAGACCCGGUCACCGUCCCUCAGGGACAAACUUUUAACCAGGUUGACCUCGGAUCAGGUAGGAAUACCCGCUGAACUUAAGCAUAUCAAUAAGCGGAGGAAAAGAAACCAACAGGGAUUGCCCUAGUAACGGCGAGUGAAGCGGCAACAGCUCAAAUUUGAAAUCUGGCCUUCGGGUCCGAGUUGUAAUUUGUAGAGGAUGCUUUUGGUGCGGUACCUUCCGAGUUCCCUGGAACGGGACGCCAUAGAGGGUGAGAGCCCCGUCUGGUUGGAUACCAAUCCUCUGUAAAGCUCCUUCAACGAGUCGAGUAGUUUGGGAAUGCCGCUCUAAAUGGGAGGUAUAUGUCUUCUAAAGCUAAAUAUUGGCCAGAGACCGAUAGCGCACAAGUAGAGUGAUCGAAAGAUGAAAAGCACUUUGAAAAGAGAGUUAAAAAGUACGUGAAAUUGUUGAAAGGGAAGCGCUUAUGACCAGACUUGGGCUUGGUUGAUCAUCCUGGGUUUUCCCUGGUGCACUCUUCCAGUUCAGGCCAGCAUCAGUUCGUCGCGGGGGAUAAAGGCUUCGGGAAUGUGGCUCCUCCGGGAGUGUUAUAACCCGUUGUGUAAUAUCCUGCUUUGGACUGAGGU